RNAcentral lists this ribosomal RNA (249 nucleotides) under uncultured bacterium. Its description in RNAcentral is "partial 16S ribosomal RNA". It matches the Rfam family "Bacterial small subunit ribosomal RNA", at positions 524 to 772 of the family's 1533-position model. The record is from RNAcentral.
UACGGAGGGUGCAAGCGUUAAUCGGAAUUACUGGGCGUAAAGCGUGCGCAGGCGGUUUGUUAAGUCUGCUGUGAAAUCCCCGAGCUCAACUUGGGAAUUGCAGUGGAUACUGGCAGGCUGGAGUACGGUAGAGGAAGGUGGAAUUCCCGGUGUAGCAGUGAAAUGCGUAGAGAUCGGGAGGAACACCAGUGGCGAAGGCGGCCUGCUGGACCAGUACUGACGCUCAUGCACGAAAGCGUGGGGAGCAAA